UACGGGGGGGGCAAGCGUUGUUCGGAAUUACUGGGCGUAAAGGGCUCGUAGGUGGCCAACUAAGUCAGACGUGAAAUCCCCAGGCUCAACUUGGGAACUGCGUCUGAUACUGGUUGGCUUGAAUCCGGGAGAGGGAUGCGGAAUUCCAGGUGUAGCGGUGAAAUGCGUAGAUAUCUGGAGGAACACCGGUGGCGAAGGCGGCAUCCUGGACCGGCAUUGACGCUGAGGCGCGAAAGCCAGGGGAGCAAACGGG
Molecule: ribosomal RNA, 253 nt
Filed under: uncultured bacterium
Lineage: Bacteria
Description: partial 16S ribosomal RNA
Rfam family: Bacterial small subunit ribosomal RNA
Source: RNAcentral